AGUGAACGCUGGCGGUAGGCCUAACACAUGCAAGUCGAACGGCAGCACAGUAAGAGCUUGCUCUUACGGGUGGCGAGUGGCGGACGGGUGAGGAAUACAUCGGAAUCUACUUUUUCGUGGGGGAUAACGUAGGGAAACUUACGCUAAUACCGCAUACGAUCUACGGGUGAAAGCAGGGGAUCUUCGGACCUGGCGGGAUUGAAUGAGCCGAUGUCGGAUUAGCUAGUUGGGGGGGUAGUGGCCCACCAAGGCGAUGACGGGUAGCUGGCCUGAGAGGAUGACAGGACAGAGGGGGACUGAGAGAAGGCCCAGACUGCUACGGGAGGCAGGAGUGGGGAAUAUUGCACAAUGGGCGGAAGCCUGAGGCAGCAACGACGCGUGUGGGAUGACGGCCUUAGGGUUGUAAACCGCUUUCGCCUGUGACGAAGCGUGAGUGACGGUAAUGGGUAAAGAAGCACCGGCUAACUACGUG
This 472-nucleotide ribosomal RNA is filed under the name uncultured bacterium. RNAcentral's name for it is "partial 16S ribosomal RNA". It matches the Rfam family "Bacterial small subunit ribosomal RNA", at positions 30 to 507 of the family's 1533-position model. The record is from RNAcentral.